This 575-nucleotide ribosomal RNA is filed under the name Aspergillus itaconicus. RNAcentral describes it as "eukaryotic LSU rRNA". It matches the Rfam family "Eukaryotic large subunit ribosomal RNA", at positions 58 to 648 of the family's 3401-position model. Lineage: Eukaryota; Fungi; Ascomycota; Eurotiomycetes; Eurotiales; Aspergillaceae. The record is from RNAcentral.
AAAGAAACCAACCGGGAUUACCUCAGUAACGGCGAGUGAAGCGGUAAGAGCUCAAAUUUGAAAUCUGGCGCCUUCGGCGUCCGAGUUGUAAUUUGCAGAGGAUGCUUCGGGUGCAGCCCCCAUCUAAGUGCCCUGGAACGGGCCGUCAUAGAGGGUGAGAAUCCCGUAUGGGAUGGGGUGUCUGCGUCCGUGUGAAGCUCCUUCGACGAGUCGAGUUGUUUGGGAAUGCAGCUCUAAAUGGGUGGUAAAUUUCAUCUAAAGCUAAAUAUUGGCCGGAGACCGAUAGCGCACAAGUAGAGUGAUCGAAAGAUGAAAAGCACUUUGAAAAGAGAGUUAAACAGCACGUGAAAUUGUUGAAAGGGAAGCGCUUGCGACCAGACUCGCCCACGGGGUUCAGCCGGCUUUCGGGCCGGUGUACUUCCCCGGGGGCGGGCCAGCGUCGGUUUGGGCGGCCGGUCAAAGGCCCCGGGAAUGUAGCGCCCCUCGGGGCGCCUUAUAGCCCGGGGUGCAAUGCGGCCUGCCUGGACCGAGGAACGCGCUUCGGCACGGACGCUGGCAUAAUGGUCGUAAGCGAC